UGAUAUACUACAUGACACAACAUCUGUCAAUUCUUAGCACCGUGAACGGUUAAAAGCUGCUUACAUGUUGGAGUAAAUCAGAUUGUUCUAACCAGACACACCACAGAGAUGAAGCUGUUCUUACUUCUGUUGAUAUUCACCUGUGUUGCCUGGCAACAGUCUGACGCUAUGCAACAUAUAUUUCGAUUGCCAAGCUGGAUGGACCGCCUAGGUUCCAUUAGAAGAUUCGGCCCAAUAAUCAUAUCGAAAAGAGCAGAACUCGACACAGAUCAGGACGGAUAUCUGGACGAGACAGAGUUAGAAAAACACACCAAUGAGCGAGACAUUCUAGAUUUCAUAGAUGCUUUAGAUGAAAACGGUGAUGAUCUCCUAUCUGUUGAUGAAUUUAAUGACAAGUAGUAAUCAGUAAAUCAGAUUGUGCCAAUGUUAAACAGAUGAAGCAGAUAUUCUAAAACGGUCAGCAGUGUAUACAUAGAAUAAAACAAUUUUAAACAAAA
Long non-coding RNA from Gigantopelta aegis, 497 nucleotides. RefSeq lists it as uncharacterized. NCBI's taxonomy places the organism in Eukaryota, Metazoa, Mollusca, Gastropoda, Neomphalida, Peltospiridae. The transcript is spliced from 5 exons. The record is from RefSeq and is a predicted model, not a curated record.